GCAGCAGUGGUUCAGUGGUAGAAUUCUCACCUUCCAUGCAGGAGACCCUGGGUUCAAUUCCUGGCCAGUGCA
RNAcentral lists this transfer RNA (72 nucleotides) under Loxodonta africana (African savanna elephant). It matches the Rfam family "tRNA". From Rfam's summary of the family: Transfer RNA (tRNA) molecules are approximately 80 nucleotides in length. Lineage: Eukaryota; Metazoa; Chordata; Mammalia; Proboscidea; Elephantidae. The record is from Rfam by way of RNAcentral.